This 253-nucleotide ribosomal RNA is filed under the name uncultured bacterium. RNAcentral's name for it is "partial 16S ribosomal RNA". It matches the Rfam family "Bacterial small subunit ribosomal RNA", at positions 524 to 776 of the family's 1533-position model. The record is from RNAcentral.
UACAGAGGGUGCGAGCGUUAAUCGGAAUUACUGGGCGUAAAGCGCGCGUAGGCGGCUUUGCAAGUCGGGUGUGAAAUCCCCAGGCUUAACCUGGGAACUGCAUUCGAGACUGCAUUGCUAGAGUAUGGGAGAGGGAAGUGGAAUUUCCGGUGUAGCGGUGAAAUGCGUAGAUAUCGGAAGGAACAUCAGUGGCGAAAGCGACUUCUUGGACCAAUACUGACGCUCAUGUGCGAAAGCGUGGGGAGCAAACAGG